RNAcentral lists this ribosomal RNA (565 nucleotides) under Saccharomycopsis fibuligera. RNAcentral describes it as "partial large subunit ribosomal RNA". It matches the Rfam family "Eukaryotic large subunit ribosomal RNA", at positions 62 to 648 of the family's 3401-position model. Lineage: Eukaryota; Fungi; Ascomycota; Saccharomycetes; Ascoideales; Saccharomycopsidaceae. The record is from RNAcentral.
AAACCAACAGGGAUUGCCUUAGUAACGGCGAGUGAAGCGGCAAAAGCUCAAAUUUGAAAGCUAGCACCUUCGGUGUUCGCGUUGUAAUUUGAAGAUAGUUUCCUUGAGUAGUCCUUUAUCUAUGUUCCUUGGAACAGGACGUCAUAGAGGGUGAGAACCCCGUAUGAUUUUGGAUACUACUCUUUGUGGGAUUCUAUCGAAGAGUCGAGUUGUUUGGGAAUGCAGCUCUAAGUGGGUGUAAAUUCCAUCUAAAGCUAAAUAUUGGCGAGAGACCGAUAGCGAACAAGUACAGUGAUGGAAAGAUGAAAAGAACUCUGAAGAGAGAGUGAAAAAGUACGUGAAAUUGCUGAAAGGGAAGGGCUUGAGGUCAGACUUGGUGUUUAAUGAUUAUCAGUUCUUCUUGGACUGUGCACUCGUUUUUCACCGGGCCAAUAUCAGUUUUAGCGGUAGAGUACCCCUUGAAAUGUGGCUUCCUUCGGGGAGUGUUAUAGUCUUGGGGAGAUCUACUUGCUGGGACUGAGGACUGCGCUUCGGCAAGGAUAUUGGCGUAAUGACCUUAAGCCGC